AACGAACGCUGGCGGCAUGCCUAACACAUGCAAGUCGAACGAGACCUUCGGGUCUAGUGGCGCACGGGUGCGUAACGCGUGGGAACCUGCCCUUAGGUUCGGAAUAACUCCCCGAAAGGGGUGCUAAUACCGGAUAAUGUCUUCGGACCAAAGAUUUAUCGCCUUUGGAUGGGCCCGCGUUGGAUUAGCUAGUUGGUAGGGUAAAAGCCUACCAAGGCGACGAUCCAUAGCUGGUCUGAGAGGAUGAUCAGCCACACUGGGACUGAGACACGGCCCAGACUCCUACGGGGGGAGGCAGUGGGGAAUAUUGGAAAAUGGGCGAAAGCCUGAUCCAGCAAUGCCGGGUGAGUGAUGAAGGCCUUGGGGUUUUAAAGCUUUUUUACCCGGGAUUAUAAUGACAGUACCGGGAGAAUAAGCCCCGGCUAACUCCGG
This 432-nucleotide ribosomal RNA is filed under the name uncultured bacterium. RNAcentral's name for it is "partial 16S ribosomal RNA". It matches the Rfam family "Bacterial small subunit ribosomal RNA", at positions 29 to 506 of the family's 1533-position model. The record is from RNAcentral.